UACGUAGGUGGCAAGCGUUGUCCGGAUUUACUGGGCGUAAAGAGCGCGCAGGCGGUCGUUCAAGUCGAGUGUGAAAGCCCCCGGCUCAACUGGGGAGGGUCAUUCGAUACUGAUCGACUCGAAGGCAGGAGAGGGAAGUGGAAUUCCCGGUGUAGUGGUGAAAUGCGUAGAUAUCGGGAGGAACACCAAUAGCGAAGGCAGCUCGCUGGGACGUAACUGACACUGAGGCGCGAAAGCGUGGGGAGCGAACAGG
This 253-nucleotide ribosomal RNA is filed under the name uncultured bacterium. Its description in RNAcentral is "partial 16S ribosomal RNA". It matches the Rfam family "Bacterial small subunit ribosomal RNA", at positions 524 to 776 of the family's 1533-position model. The record is from RNAcentral.